CCUACGGGUGGCAGCAGUGAGGAAUAUUGGUCAAUGGGCGGGAGCCUGAACCAGCCAAGUCGCGUGAGGGACGACGGCCCUAUGGAUUGUAAACCUCUUUUGUCGGGGAACAAAGGCGCCUACGGGUGGGUGGAUGAGUGUACCCGAAGAAAAAGCAUCGGCUAACUCCGUGCCAGCAGCCGCGGUAAUACGGAGGAUGCGAGCGUUAUCCGGAUUUAUUGGGUUUAAAGGGUGCGUAGGCGGACGGUAAAGUUAGCGGUAAAAAUGCGGUGCUCAACGCCGUACAGCCGUUGAAACUGGCAGUCUUGAGUGGACGAGAGGGAGGCGGAAGGCGUGGUGUAGCGGUGAAAUGCAUAGAGAUCACGCAGAACUCCGAUUGCGAAGGUAGCAUACCGGCGCCCUACUGACGCUGAGGCACGAAAGCGUGGGUAUCGAACAGGAUUAGAUACCCCAGUAGUC
This 459-nucleotide ribosomal RNA is filed under the name uncultured bacterium. Its description in RNAcentral is "partial 16S ribosomal RNA". It matches the Rfam family "Bacterial small subunit ribosomal RNA", at positions 338 to 795 of the family's 1533-position model. The record is from RNAcentral.